UGUGUGUGUGUGUAUGUGUGUGUGUGUGUGUGUGGCUAUUAAGCCGGACACACACACACACACACACACACACACACACACACACACAAA
RNAcentral lists this microRNA precursor (90 nucleotides) under Tetraodon nigroviridis (spotted green pufferfish). RNAcentral describes it as "miRNA (ENSTNIG00000020248.1)". Lineage: Eukaryota; Metazoa; Chordata; Actinopteri; Tetraodontiformes; Tetraodontidae. The record is from RNAcentral.